AGUUUGAUCCUGGUCAGAUUGAACGCUGGCGGUUGUGUUACACAUGCAAGUCAAACGGCGUAUGAUCUAACUUGCUAAAUUGAUGGGGAGUGGGAACGGGUGAGUAAUACAUCGGAACGUGCCCUGUGGAGGGGGAUAUCUAUUCGGAAGAUUAUCUAAUACCGCAGACGACCUGAGGGGGAGAGUGGGGGACCCGAGGCGUCAGGCUAUAUGAGACUCCAUGUAGGAGUAGAUGUUUGGCGGGGUAAAGGCCCACCACCUGGCCAUCUGUAUCUGGCCUGAGAGCACNAUCAUGCACACUGGGACUGAGACACUGCCCAAACUACUACUGGAGGAAGCUGGGGGGAAUUUUUUUGAAUGGGGGCAACCCUGAUGCACCAGUGCCGCGUGUGGGAAGAAGGCCGUCGGGUUGUAAAGCAUUUUUGUCCGGAAAGAAAUCGUCUUACUAAUAUUAUGUGUGGAUGACGCUACCGGAAGAAUAAGUACCGACUAACUACGUGCCUGCAGCCGGCUUAAUACUUACGGGCCGUCCAUCAGUCAGAAUUACUGGUUGUAAAGCUCGCACUGGCGGUUGUGCAGGACCAAUGUCAAGUCCCCGGCCUUAGCUUGAUAAUUGCAUUGGUUACUGCCCGGCAGUGUGUGUCAGAUUGGAGUGGAAUUCCACG
This 665-nucleotide ribosomal RNA is filed under the name uncultured bacterium. Its description in RNAcentral is "bacterial SSU rRNA". It matches the Rfam family "Bacterial small subunit ribosomal RNA", at positions 10 to 673 of the family's 1533-position model. The record is from RNAcentral.